RNAcentral lists this ribosomal RNA (611 nucleotides) under uncultured bacterium. RNAcentral describes it as "bacterial SSU rRNA". It matches the Rfam family "Bacterial small subunit ribosomal RNA", at positions 338 to 945 of the family's 1533-position model. The record is from RNAcentral.
CCUACGGGAGGCAGCAGUAAGGAAUAUUGGUCAAUGGAGGCAACUCUGAACCAGCCAUGCCGCGUGCAGGAUGACGGCCCUAUGGGUUGUAAACUGCUUUUAUACAAGAGAAAACCCUGGUACGUGUACCAGGUUGAUAGUAUUGUAAGAAUAAGCAUCGGCUAACUUCGUGCCAGCAGCCGCGGUAAGACGAAGGAUGCAAGCGUUAUCCGGAUUCAUUGGGUUUAAAGGGUGCGUAGGCGGACUGAUAAGUCAGUGGUGAAAUCUCUUUGCUUAACAAAGAAACUGCCAUUGAUACUGUCGGUCUAGAGUAUAGAUGACGUUGGCGGAAUAUGACAUGUAGUGGUGAAAUACUUAGAUAUGUCAUAGAACACCGAUUGCGAAGGCAGCUAACGAAACUAUAACUGACGCUGAGGCACGAAAGUGCGGGGAUCAAACAGGAUUAGAUACCCUGGUAGUCCGCACCGUAAACGAUGAUUACUCGUUGUUGGCGAUAUGACAGUCAGCGACCAAGCGAAAGCGAUAAGUAAUCCACCUUGGGGAGUAGCCGGNAACGGUUGAAACUUCAAANAGAGUUAGAGNGNGAGAGNGCGAGACGACGACGAGGAGAG